GUGAACGCUGGCGGUAGGCCUAACACAUGCAAGUCGAACGGCAGCACAGUAAGAGCUUGCUCUUACGGGUGGCGAGUGGCGGACGGGUGAGGAAUACAUCGGAAUCUACUUUUUCGUGGGGGAUAACGUAGGGAAACUUACGCUAAUACCGCAUACGACCUACGGGUGAAAGCAGGGGAUCUUCGGACCUUGCGCGAUUGAAUGAGCCGAUGUCGGAUUAGCUAGUUGGGGGGGUAAAGGCCCACCAAGGCGACGAUCCGUAGCUGGUCUGAGAGGAUGAUCAGCCACACUGGAACUGAGACACGGUCCAGACUCCUACGGGAGGCAGCAGUGGGGAAUAUUGGACAAUGGGCGCAAGCCUGAUCCAGCCAUACCGCGUGGGUGAAGAAGGCCUUCGGGUUGUAAAGCCCUUUUGUUGGGAAAGAAAAGCAGCAGGUUAAUACCCCGCUGUUCUGACGGUACCCAAAGAAUAAGCACCGGCUAACUUCGUG
RNAcentral lists this ribosomal RNA (491 nucleotides) under uncultured bacterium. RNAcentral describes it as "partial 16S ribosomal RNA". It matches the Rfam family "Bacterial small subunit ribosomal RNA", at positions 29 to 507 of the family's 1533-position model. The record is from RNAcentral.